RNAcentral lists this ribosomal RNA (1140 nucleotides) under uncultured fungus. RNAcentral describes it as "eukaryotic LSU rRNA". The stretch from base 519 to 1140 matches the Rfam family "Eukaryotic large subunit ribosomal RNA", at positions 1 to 649 of the family's 3401-position model. Lineage: Eukaryota; Fungi. The record is from RNAcentral.
AAGUCGUAACAAGGUCUCCGUUGGUGAACCAGCGGAGGGAUCAUUACUGAGUUGUAAAACUCCAAACCCACUGUGAACCUUACCUAAAUUAUAAAUGCUUCGGCGGGCAGCUCCAGGGCGGAGCUGUAGCCUGCAAAGGCGCCCGCCGGAGGUACCAAACCCUUCUAUAUUUUAGCGCUAUUCUGAGUCAAAAUAUAAUAAGUCAAAACUUUCAGCAACGGAUCUCUUGGUUCUGGCAUCGAUGAAGAACGCAGCGAAAUGCGAUAAGUAAUGUGAAUUGCAGAAUUCAGUGAAUCAUCGAAUCUUUGAACGCACAUUGCGCCCGCUAGUACUCUGGCGGGCAUGCCUGUUCGAGCGUCAUUUCAACCCUCAAGCCCUGCUUGGUGAUGGGGCCCUACUAGUCUUGUAGGCCCUGAAAUCUAGUGGCGGCCUCGCUAUAAUCCCGAGCGCAGUAAAAUGCCUCGCUUAGGGUGUUAUAGUGGGAGCCCGCCGUAAAACCCCCCAUAUUUUACCAAGGUUGACCUCGGAUCAGGUAGGAAUACCCGCUGAACUUAAGCAUAUCAAUAAGCGGAGGAAAAGAAACCAACAGGGAUUGCCCUAGUAACGGCGAGUGAAGCGGCAACAGCUCAAAUUUGAAAUCUGGCCUUCAGGUCCGAGUUGUAAUUUGUAGAGGAUGCUUUUGGCGCGGUACCUUCUGAGUUCCCUGGAACGGGACGCCACAGAGGGUGAGAGCCCCGUAUAGUUGGACGCCAAGCCUGUGUAAAGCUCCUUCGACGAGUCGAGUAGUUUGGGAAUGCUGCUCAAAAUGGGAGGUAAAUUUCUUCUAAAGCUAAAUAUUGGCCAGAGACCGAUAGCGCACAAGUAGAGUGAUCGAAAGAUGAAAAGCACUUUGAAAAGAGGGUUAAAUAGCACGUGAAAUUGCUGAAAGGGAAGCGCUUAUGACCAGACUUGGGCCUGUUGAAUCCCCUGGCGUUCUCGCUGGGGCACUUCAUCUGGCACAGGCCAGCAUCGGUUUUCCUAGGGGGAUAAAAGCUUCAGGAACGUGGCUCUUCGGAGUGUUAUAGCCUGUUGUAUAAUACCCUUGGGGGGACCGAGGUCCGCACUUUUGUUUGGAUGCUGGCGUAAUGGUCAUUAGCGACC